GAAAUGGUGUUGGGGAAAUUGAUGGGAUUGAAGGCCAAUAAAUCCCCAGGGCCUGAUAAUCUACAUCCCAGAGUACUUAAGGAAGUGGCCCUAGAAAUAAUGGAUGCAUUGGUGGUCAUCUUCUGAGAUUCUAUAGACUCUGGAACAGUUCCUACAGAUUGGAGGGUAGCUUAUGUAACCCCACUAUUUAAAAAGGGAGGUAGAGAGAAAACAAGGAAUUAUAGACCAGACAGCUUGAUGUCAGUAGUGGGGAAAAUGCCAGAGUCCAUUAUAAAAGAUUAAAUGGCUGAGCAUAUGGAAAGCAAUGGCAGAGUCGGACAGAGUCAGCAUGGGUUUACAAAAGGGAAAUCAUGUUUGACAAAUCUACUGAAAUUUUUUGAGGAUAUAACUAGUAGAGUUGAUGAGGGGGAGCCAGUGGAUGUGGUUUAUUUGGACUUUCAGAAGGCUUUUGACAAAGUCCCACAUAAGAGAUUGCCGCGUAAAAUUAAAGCGCAUGGGAUUGGGGGUAGUGUGUUGAGAUGGAUUUAAAACUGGUUGGCAGACAGGAAACAAAGAGUAGGAAUAAACGGGUCUUUUUCUGAAUGGCAGGCAGUGACUAGUGGGGUAUCGCAGGAAUCGGUGCUGGGACCCCAGCUAUUCACAAUAUAUAUUAAUGAUUUAGAUGAGGGAAUUAAAUGUAAUAUCUCCAAAUUUGCAGAUGACACAAAGCUGGGUGGGAGGGUGAGCUGUGAGGAGGAUGCAGAGAUGCUUCAUUGUGAUUUGGACAAGCUGAGUGAGUGGGCAAAUGCAUGGAAGAUGCAGUAUAAUGUGGAUACUUUGAAAGCAAAACAGGAAGGCAGGUUAUUAUUUGGAUGGCUAUAAAUUGAGACAGGGGAAUGUGCCAUGAGUCCUGGGUGUCCUUGUACACCAGUCGCUGAAGGUAAGCAUGCAGGUGCAGCAGGCAAUAAAGAAGGCAAAAUGGUAUGUUGGCCUUCAUAGCCAGAGGAUUUGAAUAUAGGAACAGGGAUGUCUUGCUGCAAUUGUACAGGGCCUUUGUGAGACCACACCUGGAAUAUUGUGUGCAGCUUUGGUCUCCUUAUCUGAGGAAGGAUGUUCUUGCUAUCAAGGGCAUGCAGCAAAGGCUUACCAGACUGAUACCUGGGAUUGUGGGACUGACAUAUGAGGAGAGAUUGAGUCGCUUAGGAUUAUAUUCACUGAAGUUCAGAAGAAUGAGGGGGGAUCUCAUAGAAAUCUAUAAAAUUCUAACAGGACUAGACAGGGUAGAUGCAGGAAGGAUGUUCCCGAUGGUGGGGGAGUCCAGAACCAGGGGUCACAGUCUGAGGAUACGGGGUAGACCAUUUAGGACUGAGAUGAGGAGAAAUUUCUUCACCCAGAGAGUGGUGAGCCUGUGGAAUUCNAGAAUGAGGGGGGAUCUCAUAGAAAUCUAUAAAAUUCUAACAGGACUAGACAGGGUAGAUGCAGGAAGGAUGUUCCCGAUGAUGGGGGAGUCCAGAACCAGGGGUCACAGUCUGAGGGUAAGGAGUGGACCAUUUAGGACUGAGAUGAGGGGAAAUUUCUUCACCCAGGGAGUGGUGAGCCUGUGGAAUUCGCUACCUCAGAAAGUAGCUGAGGCCAAAACAUUGUAUGUUUGCAAGGAGUUGGAUAUAGCUCUUGUGGCGAAAGGGAUCAAAGGAUAUGGGGAGAAAGUGGGAACAGGCUUUUGAGUUGGAUGAUCAGCCAUGAUCAUAAUGAAUGGUAGAGCAGGCUCGAAGGGCCAAAUGGCCUACUCCUGCUCCUAUUUUCUAUGUUUCUAUGUCACCUGCGGUCCCCCUGUGGUUGUGGCCACUCCUGGAGUUAAUUGACAACGUGGACGAGCCACAUAAAUACUUUCAGAUUGGAUGCUACAAAUUAGUGAAUUUGUACAUAUUAAAUAGCCAAAUGCCUCGUCAUCUAAUUAGUGAGGCGCAUGAAUGGAUGAAUGAGAUUCCCACUGUCCCUACCUACUAUCUAGUGAAACCACAGCCAAGGGAACGGGCUUGGCAGAAUCAACGGGGAAAGAAGACCCUGUUGAGCUUGACUCUAGUCUGGCAUUGUGAAGAAACAUGAGAGGUGUAGAAUAAGUGGAAGGCCUUGGCCACUGGUGAAAUACCACUACUCUUAUUAUUUCUUCACUUACAGGUGAGGCGGGGAGGCGAGCCCCGAGGGGCUCUCGCUUCUGGUUGGAAGUGCCCAGGCGGCCGGGCAUGACCCACUCCGGUACACUGGCAGGUGGGGAGUUUGACUGGGGCGGUACACUGUCACUCCGUAAAGCAGGUGUCCUAAGGUGAGAUCAGGCAGGACAGAAACCUCCCAUGGAGCAGAAGGGCAAAAGCUCGCUUGAUCUUGGUUUUCAGUACGCAUGCAGACCAUGAAAGUGGGGCCUCAUGGUCCUUCUGUCCUUUUGGUUUUUGCCUAGGAGGUGUCAGAAACGUUACUACAGGACGAACUGGCGUGUGGCGGCCAAGCGUUCAUAACAACGUGGCUAUUUGAUCCUUCGAUGUUGGCUCUUCCUAUCAUUGUGAAGCAGAAUUCACCAAGCAUUGGAUUGUUCACCCACUAAUAGGGAAAGUGAGCUGGCUUUAGACCGUCGUGAGACAGGUUAGUUUUACCCUACUGAUGAUGGUUUUGUUGCAAUAGUAAUCCUGCUCAGUGCGAGAGGAACCACAGGUUCAGACAUUUGGUGUAAUGCUUGGCUAAGGAGCCAAUGAUGUGUAGCUACUAUCUGUGGGAUUAUGACUAAACGCCUCUAAAUCAGAAUCUUGCCUAAAAUUAAUGACACCCUAGUGCCGUGGAUCACCUGGGAUAGCUGACUCCGGUCGGAGGGUAGUGCCGCUCGAUUCAGGGCUAGAGCGCAGAUGGAUGGGCGCCGCCUCUCUCCUGUUAACGCACAGCAUGUUCGUGGGGACCCUGGUGCUAAAUUAUUCACAGGCGACCUGUUUCCGGCUCAGGGUUUUGUACAUACCAAUCUGUGUCA
Molecule: ribosomal RNA, 2992 nt
Filed under: Carcharodon carcharias (great white shark)
Lineage: Eukaryota; Metazoa; Chordata; Chondrichthyes; Lamniformes; Lamnidae
Description: eukaryotic LSU rRNA
Rfam family: Eukaryotic large subunit ribosomal RNA (bases 1596-2992)
Source: RNAcentral